This 228-nucleotide long non-coding RNA is filed under the name Elaeis guineensis (African oil palm). RNAcentral's name for it is "long non-coding RNA (EGUI_LNC024174)". The record is from RNAcentral. Lineage: Eukaryota; Viridiplantae; Streptophyta; Magnoliopsida; Arecales; Arecaceae.
CUGUUCCUCUUAUUUCAAUCUAUUGUAAUCCAAAGUUAUAAUUGAUUUUUGCAAGAAAAAACUUAUAAAUUUAAAAUUAAGUAGAUAUAUAAAAGUAAGACAAAUGUCUGUGAAAAAAUAAAAAAUCUAUGGCAUUAUUUUAUUCUCUUAUGUAAAAACUAAUAAUAAUCUUACCAAUUGCCUUACUGAAGGUUUAAAUAGGACUAAUAUCUUGGAGUCAUUGAGGGU